Molecule: long non-coding RNA, 263 nt
Filed under: Musa acuminata (dwarf banana)
Lineage: Eukaryota; Viridiplantae; Streptophyta; Magnoliopsida; Zingiberales; Musaceae
Description: long non-coding RNA (MACU_LNC010068)
Source: RNAcentral
GUGAUCCCAUUAGCUUAAUCUUGGGGCAAUUGGGCCCCUGAAAGAUUGAAAUUGGGCCGAAUGGAGCUAACCAUUCGGACCCUGAUUGCACCAGGAGGUGCAACCGCCUAGGCCAGGAGGUGGCACCGCCUGGGCUAAGUCUCCCAGCAAGACUGGGCGGUGCAACCGCCCCAGCCAGGAGGUGGCACCGCCUGAGCUCAGUCUUCGAGCUAGACUGGGCGGUGCAACCUCCCUGACAGAGAGGUGGCACCGCCUGAGCUCGG